RNAcentral lists this ribosomal RNA (793 nucleotides) under uncultured bacterium. Its description in RNAcentral is "bacterial SSU rRNA". It matches the Rfam family "Bacterial small subunit ribosomal RNA", at positions 8 to 796 of the family's 1533-position model. The record is from RNAcentral.
AGAGUUUGAUCCUGGCUCAGAUUGAACGCUGGCGGCAGGCCUAACACAUGCAAGUCGAGCGGUAGAGAGAAGCUUGCUUCUCUUGAGAGCGGCGGACGGGUGAGUAAUGCCUAGGAAUCUGCCUGGUAGUGGGGGAUAACGUUCGGAAACGGACGCUAAUACCGCAUACGUCCUACGGGAGAAAGCAGGGGACCUUCGGGCCUUGCGCUAUCAGAUGAGCCUAGGUCGGAUUAGCUAGUUGGUGAGGUAAUGGCUCACCAAGGCGACGAUCCGUAACUGGUCUGAGAGGAUGAUCAGUCACACUGGAACUGAGACACGGUCCAGACUCCUACGGGAGGCAGCAGUGGGGAAUAUUGGACAAUGGGCGAAAGCCUGAUCCAGCCAUGCCGCGUGUGUGAAGAAGGUCUUCGGAUUGUAAAGCACUUUAAGUUGGGAGGAAGGGUUGUAGAUUAAUACUCUGCAAUUUUGACGUUACCGACAGAAUAAGCACCGGCUAACUCUGUGCCAGCAGCCGCGGUAAUACAGAGGGUGCAAGCGUUAAUCGGAAUUACUGGGCGUAAAGCGCGCGUAGGUGGUUUGUUAAGUUGGAUGUGAAAUCCCCGGGCUCAACCUGGGAACUGCAUUCAAAACUGACUGACUAGAGUAUGGUAGAGGGUGGUGGAAUUUCCUGUGUAGCGGUGAAAUGCGUAGAUAUAGGAAGGAACACCAGUGGCGAGGGCGACCACCUGGACUAAUACUGACACUGAGGUGCGAAAGCGUGGGGAGCAAACAGGAUUAGAUACCCUGGUAGUCC